GCCGGAAUAGCUCAGCUGGGAGAGCAACAGACUGAAGCGCCGGUACAACCGACUGCCUUCUGGAGGUCCCGUGUUCAAUCCACGGUUCUGGCA
RNAcentral lists this transfer RNA (93 nucleotides) under Auriscalpium vulgare. Its description in RNAcentral is "tRNA-Phe". It matches the Rfam family "tRNA". From Rfam's summary of the family: Transfer RNA (tRNA) molecules are approximately 80 nucleotides in length. Their secondary structure includes four short double-helical elements and three loops (D, anti-codon, and T loops). Lineage: Eukaryota; Fungi; Basidiomycota; Agaricomycetes; Russulales; Auriscalpiaceae. The record is from RNAcentral.